GGUUAAGCGACUAAGCGUACACGGUGGAUGCCCUGGCAGUCAGAGGCGAUGAAGGACGUGCUAAUCUGCGAAAAGCGUCGGUAAGGUGAUAUGAACCGUUACAGCCGGCGAUGUCCGAAUGGGGAAACCCAGUGCAAUUCGUUGCACUAUCGUUUGAUGAAUACAUAGUCAAACGAGGCGAACCGGGGGAACUGAAACAUCUAAGUACCCCGAGGAAAAGAAAUCAACCGAGAUUCCCCCAGUAGCGGCGAGCGAACGGGGAGCAGCCCGGAGUCUGAAUCAGCUUGUGUGUUAGUGGAAGCGUCUGGAAAGUCGCAGGGUACAGGGUGAUACUCCCGUACACUAAAACAUACAGGUUGUGAACUCGAAGAGUAGGGCGGGACACGUGGUAUCCUGUCUGAAUAUGGGGGGACCAUCCUCCAAGGCUAAAUACUCCUGACUGACCGAUAGUGAACCAGUACCGUGAGGGAAAGGCGAAAAGAACCCCGGCGAGGGGAGUGAAAAAGAACCUGAAACCGUGUACGUACAAGCAGUAGGAGCCCACUUGUUGGGUGACUGCGUACCUUUUGUAUAAUGGGUCAGCGACUUAUAUUCUGUAGCAAGGUUAACCGUAUAGGGGAGCCGCAGGGAAACCGAGUCUUAACUGGGCGUUAAGUUGCAGGGUAUAGACCCGAAACCCGGUGAUCUAGCCAUGGGCAGGUUGAAGGUUGGGUAACACUAACUGGAGGACCGAACCGACUAAUGUUGAAAAAUUAGCGGAUGACUUGUGGCUGGGGGUGAAAGGCCAAUCAAACCGGGAGAUAGCUGGUUCUCCCCGAAAGCUAUUUAGGUAGCGCCUCGUGAAUUCAUCUUCGGGGGUAGAGCACUGUUUCGGCUAGGGGGUCAUCCCGACUUACCAACCCGAUGCAAACUACGAAUACCGAAGAAUGUUAUCACGGGAGACACACGGCGGGUGCUAACGUCCGUCGUGAAGAGGGAAACAACCCAGACCGCCAGCUAAGGUCCCAAAGUCAUGGUUAAGUGGGAAACGAUGUGGGAAGGCCCAGACAGCCAGGAUGUUGGCUUAGAAGCAGCCAUCAUUUAAAGAAAGCGUAAUAGCUCACUGGUCGAGUCGGCCUGCGCGGAAGAUGUAACGGGGCUAAACCAUGCACCGAAGCUGCGGCAGCGACACUAUGUGUUGUUGGGUAGGGGAGCGUUCUGUAAGCCGUUGAAGGUGGCCUGUGAGGGUUGCUGGAGGUAUCAGAAGUGCGAAUGCUGACAUAAGUAACGAUAAUGCGGGUGAAAAACCCGCACGCCGGAAGACCAAGGGUUCCUGUCCAACGUUAAUCGGGGCAGGGUGAGUCGACCCCUAAGGCGAGGCCGAAAGGCGUAGUCGAUGGGAAACAGGUUAAUAUUCCUGUACUUGGUGUUACUGCGAAGGGGGGACGGAGAAGGCUAUGUUGGCCGGGCGACGGUUGUCCCGGUUUAAGCGUGUAGGUGUGUGUUCCAGGUAAAUCCGGUUCACUUUAACACUGAGGCGUGAUGACGAGGCACUACGGUGCUGAAGUGACAAAUGCCCUGCUUCCAGGAAAAGCCUCUAAGCAUCAGGUAACAUCAAAUCGUACCCCAAACCGACACAGGUGGUCAGGUAGAGAAUACCAAGGCGCUUGAGAGAACUCGGGUGAAGGAACUAGGCAAAAUGGUGCCGUAACUUCGGGAGAAGGCACGCUGAUAUGUAGGUGAAGUGGUUUACCCAUGGAGCUGAAAUCAGUCGAAGAUACCAGCUGGCUGCAACUGUUUAUUAAAAACACAGCACUGUGCAAACACGAAAGUGGACGUAUACGGUGUGACGCCUGCCCGGUGCCGGAAGGUUAAUUGAUGGGGUUAUCCGUAAGGAGAAGCUCUUGAUCGAAGCCCCGGUAAACGGCGGCCGUAACUAUAACGGUCCUAAGGUAGCGAAAUUCCUUGUCGGGUAAGUUCCGACCUGCACGAAUGGCGUAAUGAUGGCCAGGCUGUCUCCACCCGAGACUCAGUGAAAUUGAACUCGCUGUGAAGAUGCAGUGUACCCGCGGCAAGACGGAAAGACCCCGUGAACCUUUACUAUAGCUUGACACUGAACACUGGUCCUUGAUGUGUAGGAUAGGUGGGAGGCUUUGAAGCGUGGACGCCAGUCUGCGUGGAGCCAUCCUUGAAAUACCACCCUUUAAUGGCUGGUGUUCUAACGUGGGCCCCUAAUCGGGGUUGCGGACAGUGUCUGGUGGGUAGUUUGACUGGGGCGGUCUCCUCCUAAAGAGUAACGGAGGAGCACGAAGGUCAGCUAAUCCUGGUCGGACAUCAGGAGGUUAGUGCAAUGGCAUAAGCUGGCUUGACUGCGAGCGUGACGGCGCGAGCAGGUGCGAAAGCAGGUCAUAGUGAUCCGGUGGUUCUGAAUGGAAGGGCCAUCGCUCAACGGAUAAAAGGUACUCCGGGGAUAACAGGCUGAUACCGCCCAAGAGUUCAUAUCGACGGCGGUGUUUGGCACCUCGAUGUCGGCUCAUCACAUCCUGGGGCUGAAGUAGGUCCCAAGGGUAUGGCUGUUCGCCAUUUAAAGUGGUACGCGAGCUGGGUUUAGAACGUCGUGAGACAGUUCGGUCCCUAUCUGCCGUGGGCGCUGGAGAAUUGAGGGGGGCUGCUCCUAGUACGAGAGGACCGGAGUGGACGCAUCACUGGUGUUCGGGUUGUCAUGCCAAUGGCAUUGCCCGGUAGCUAAAUGCGGAAGAGAUAAGUGCUGAAAGCAUCUAAGUACGAAACUUGCCCCGAGAUGAGUUCUCCCUGACUCCUUGAGAGUCCUGAAGGAACGUUGAAGACGACGACGUUGAUAGGCCGGGUGUGUAAGCGCAGCGAUGCGUUGAGCUAACCGGUACUAAUGAACCGUGAGGCUUAACCUU
Molecule: ribosomal RNA, 2906 nt
Filed under: Klebsiella pasteurii
Lineage: Bacteria; Pseudomonadati; Pseudomonadota; Gammaproteobacteria; Enterobacterales; Enterobacteriaceae
Description: 23S ribosomal RNA
Rfam family: Bacterial large subunit ribosomal RNA
Source: RNAcentral